GAACCGUACGAACGUUAUUCGGGAAUCACUGGGCUUAAAGGGUGCGUAGGCGGCCUGGUAAGUUGGGUGUGAAAGCCCUCGGGCUCAACCGAGGGAAUUGCGCCCAAUACUGUCAGGCUCGAGGGAGACAGAGGUGAGCGGAACUGAUGGUGGAGCGGUGAAAUGCGUUGAUAUUAUCAGGAACACCGGUUGCGAAGGCGGCUCACUGGGUCUCUUCUGACGCUGAGGCACGAAAGCUAGGGUAGCGAACGGGAUUAGAUACCCCGGUAGUCCUAGCUGUAAACGAUGAGCACUAGGUCGGAGGCCCUUCCACAGGCUUCCGGUCGUAGCGAAAGUGUUAAGUGCUCCGCCUGGGGAGUAUGGUCGCAAGGCUG
This 374-nucleotide ribosomal RNA is filed under the name uncultured organism. RNAcentral describes it as "partial 16S ribosomal RNA". It matches the Rfam family "Bacterial small subunit ribosomal RNA", at positions 527 to 896 of the family's 1533-position model. The record is from RNAcentral.